Molecule: long non-coding RNA, 1666 nt
Organism: Phyllostomus hastatus (greater spear-nosed bat)
Lineage: Eukaryota; Metazoa; Chordata; Mammalia; Chiroptera; Phyllostomidae
Exons: 7
Source: RefSeq, a predicted model, not a curated record
UCCCCCUGCAAACGCCUUGGAGGGUCUCGGCUACGCGCUGGAGCCUACAAGGCCUGGACUCCGGGCAAGCCCGAGUGCUGGGCUCUCGGCCCCAGGAGGAGCGCCGAACCACGGAGGAAGGGGGCGCCACGGAGCUCAGUCCCGGCCAGGGCUCCUCCCAGCAAACAGUUAUGGAAGCUGGCCCCUCCAGGAGCCCCGCGCUAGAUGCCGAGGGGAAGACCAGGAGGAGCGGACUCCCGCCAGCAAGUGGCAAUCCGCCACAACUUCGCUUGCUCUUGAGAAGACCUCGUGACCCUCCAUCCUACGCAGCAGACGAGUCUCGGGCCUGCAGUCGGCACGCCCGUGCACCGAGCAGCCCCUGUGAGCCGCGCCGUUGACCUCCGCCUGUCCACCCAGUCACUGUGGUGACCAGAGAGACGAUGCUGCUCCCAUUCCCGCUUUACAGAUGAGGAAACUGAGAAUGAGAGUGACCCAGGCGCUUCUCUGAGCCGGCAGAGACUCAGCCACGGCUGCUCCCUCCCUCCUCCCCUCAAGUGUCGCUACUCCGGGCUCGGUCCGUAGAUCCCGAUGCAACAGGACAAGUGAGAAACCUCAGGCCUGGUGAGGGGGACAGAUGCCUGCGUUGAUGAUUCCAGACGCGAAAAAGAUGGUAACAGAGACGUGUGCAGGCAGAAGCGCUGGCUCAGCACGCAGCUUCCGGUUCAGCGUCUCGUCAUUGGAAAGGCCUGCUCUCCUCAAAUGCCAUGAUCAUGAUGAUGACGGUGACAGCAGUGACAGCUCCCCUGGACGGCACGCUCGCUCCAGGCAGACCCUGGACACACACCGAGUCAUAGAUUCAAGGCAACUAGGAAAUACAAACCACAAAGAGGAAUAAAACCGACCUGAGAUUCCGGGGCAGGACAGGGAAGAGUCCCCUGCCACGGCGGGAGCAGAGUUCCACAGACCUCAGUCUCCAGGCCAAAACUCCGAUGGAAGAGCAACGGUCGGUUCAGUCUGGAUCAGUCACUGGAGCUGGGUAGGAAGACUCCUGGGGAGCGGCGCUCUGCGCUGCGGGGACCACAGGCCGCUGCGGAGAAGGAAGUGUUGCCAGGAAGAGUGCAGGAGGGUGCCCGGGCCCCAGACAGCAGAGUCAGGUGCGGCCAGGCACUGAGGUGAGGUGUUUCCCAGGGUAAACCGACUCCCCUCAGCUCACACAGCGGGAGUGCGGAGGGGUUUUCCCAAGCUCCUAGCAAAGACAAAAUAAAACAAACAAUAGCAACCAACCUUCCCUGCAGAGUCUCCAGGGAUAGUAAUCAUAUUAGCAACUGCUGGCUACAAGGAGCUAUGCAUACAAACCUCACAAGGACAUUUCCCAUCUGCUUGCGGAGGAGACGUAACUGCGCCAGUUUCCAGAAGAGAAUCCAGGCGGGGAGGGCCUGAAGCUUGUGCAAGUACAAAUAAAAAUUAGGUGCAAGAGUAAAUAUUUAUUUAGUGUACGAAAAGCCGCCACACACAGAUUUUUAAAAGCUGAUGGACGCCACAAGGAUCGUGAGAGUUAGAAAUGCCCAAAGCAUUUUUAAUUAAAUUACUGUCUCUUACUCCUCUCUAGUAUUUUUCCCUACAUUUUUGUCUGUAUAUGUGGUCAUUUUAUUUCACGUGGCAGGAUAUAAUAUUCCUAUAUUAUUCC